AGAGUUUGAUCAUGGCUCAGAACGAACGCUGGCGGCGUGGAUUAGGCAUGCAAGUCGAACGAGAAAGAUUCUUUCGGGAAUCGAGUAAAGUGGCAAACGGGUGAGUAACGCGUGGGAAACCUGCCUUUCAGUUGGGGAUAACACUUCUAACGAGGUGCUAAUACCGAAUAUAAUCUUUCCAUCGCAUGAUGGGUUGAUGAAAGACGGCCUCUGUUUUAAGCUGUCACUGAAAGAUGGUCCCGCGUCCCAUUAGCUUGUUGGUGAGGUAACAGCUCACCAAGGCGACGAUGGGUAGCCGGCCUUAGCGGGUGAUCGGCCACACUGGGAUUGAGAUACGGCCCAGACUCCUACGGGAGGCAGCAGUCGAGAGGCAUCCACAAUGGGGGAAACCCUGAUGGUGCGACGCCGCGUGGGUGAUGAAGGUUUUCGGAUCGUAAAACCCUUUCAGCAAGGACGAAGAUGUUGGGUGUCAAUAUCGCCUGACAUAAGACGGUACUUGAAGAAGAAGCUCCGGCUAACUCCGUGCCAGCAGCCGCGGUAAGACGGGGGGAGCAAGCGUUGUUCGGAUUUACUGGGCGUAAAGGGCGUCUAGGCGGAUUAGCAAGUCAGAUGUGAAAUCCCACGACUCAAUCGUGGAACUGCAUUUGAAACUGCUAGUCUUGAGUACGGAAGAGGAAAGCGGAAUUCCUGGUGUAGCGGUGAAAUGCGUAGAUAUCAGGAAGAACAUCGGUGGCGAAGGCGGCUUUCUGGUCCGAUACUGACGCUAAAGCGCGAAAGUGUGGGGAGCAAACAGGAUUAGAUACCCUGGUAGUCCACACUGUAAACGAUGGAUACUUGGUGUCGGGGAGCCGACAUCCUC
RNAcentral lists this ribosomal RNA (859 nucleotides) under uncultured bacterium. Its description in RNAcentral is "bacterial SSU rRNA". It matches the Rfam family "Bacterial small subunit ribosomal RNA", at positions 8 to 841 of the family's 1533-position model. The record is from RNAcentral.